AGUCCCUCUGCAUGUGCAGAGAAAGUUUUUUUUUCUAAAUUUAUUUUUUUAGUAGAUCUCAACAUCCAAUAACUUUUUUAAAAUAAUAUAAAUUUUAUUUUUUAAAAAUAAUUAGGUAGGGUCCCAUGAAAUUUAUUUCAAAUUUUUUCUUUGUAAUUUUUUAAUCUUAAAAGCGACUGAAUUAGGAGAUCGCUUGCGAUUGUGGAUUGAGUGAAACUUGGCCUUUCUAAAUCCGCUGAUUAGGAUACGUUUCCCACAACUAUUGAGGUUUUGAUAGAAAAGCAACAGGAAAGCCGGGGGCAUGCAGUUGCGCCUCCCACGCUGUUCUUGCCAGAAAAAGGAGCUUGGAGCCAAACAGUUCAAAGAAAAUUUCUCCUGAAGUAGUUAAGAAUGACGCAUGAGAUGGCGUGCCGGUGACACUAUAAACACAGGAGUUUUUUUCCCCUCUC
Molecule: long non-coding RNA, 449 nt
Filed under: Phoenix dactylifera (date palm)
Lineage: Eukaryota; Viridiplantae; Streptophyta; Magnoliopsida; Arecales; Arecaceae
Description: long non-coding RNA (PDAC_LNC003328)
Source: RNAcentral